AGGCCACUAAUAUUGUUUUUGUUUUCAACACCAAUGGGCGCAUGACGUGCAAUACUGGUGGCAGUGGAUGAAGGUGGAAGAGUCAACAAACAUAUGAACAAUUCAAGGCGUAUAAUUUCCAUCGCAGUGAGACCGGUGUAAUGUCUCUAGAAUUUCAAGUCACUUGGCAAGAAUUAUGUUGGGAUGACGUGUGAAAACCCAGAAGAUGCCUCUGGUAGGUUAGACCUCCUAAUGGUUGAUGGAAGUGUUAACAAUCCGUGAAGCAGUCUGGACUUUCUUUUCAAGGUCUGCAGGACCUCGCAAAUCGCCUGCUCUUUUGAGCCUGUGCCUUCCACAGGAGCAGUGGCCCAGCACCUCAGCUAGCGCCUGAUGUUAUAUGUAGUGCAUGCAUGGCCUGGGUCAUCAAUUUACAUGCCUGUUGUAAUAAAAUGUCAGUCACAUACAAUAUCUCACAGAAGGCAGUGGCACCUCAUUGACUUUGCAUAAACAUUCCAUACGCCAGCAGGUCACAUCAAUGCAGCAUUUGAUCAAGAACGCCUUGAUGGGAGGAACCUCCCAACAUAGCAGAGCUAUUUGUGCAUGAAAGGCACCCUUAAGUCAUUUUAUUGAGUUCAAAGCAAGCUAUGUGCAUGCCAACACAACCAGGGAUCAUAGUGCAGCAGCAACGCAGUCAAUCAGACACCAUCACUGCUAUUGUCUGUAUCUACUAUACAAUUGGAAUACGGUGAAUAGUGCAGCAAAUCUAUCGCGGAGGGUAGGACCCCGGGGGUGGGUAGGGCAUGCUUGCAAUGGGUGCUGAUGCGGGCAUGACACUGCGGCAACGCAUGCACUGGUAAUGUGGCGUGCCCUGCGAGCACUUCCCAAAGGGAAGGAAGAAGAAGCAGCACUGCUCAUCUUGUCUCAACAGCUGCACACACUGCAUUCCCUGCGCAGCAAGCAUCUUCUCCUGAGGGCUGCACGCUCCACGCUCCACGUAACGCUUAAACCCAUUUCUCACGAUAUCUAUAAAAAUGAACACGGCAGCAACUGGAGUUCGGUUGGUGACCACCGAGCAGUAUGGAUCUAUUACAGGCCAAAAGAGUUCAUCGCUGCACAGGGAUGCACUGAUGCAAGUUCACACCAGCGAGACAUGUAGUGCGCUCAGUCAACUUCCUGAUUGCCUGGAUCCAGCAAACACAUCCGGCAGCAAUGUCAAGACAAUGCACGGUGAUCCCAGGUACUCUCAGCAUAGCUGCGAGAGCCACUCAUGCAGCUGGAUGCAUUGUUGCCGCGAAUGUGAAGUAAAUUGCGCCGACUCACCUGGCAAACUGGGCAAUUGUAAAUGGGAGGCGACAGUGCUACAGUAUGUGGCUCUGUGCCACAGAUGCAAGGUAAAAAAAGGCAAUCCAUGUGCUGCGCUCCUUUCCCCCAAGCGGCUGUCAGAUGUCCAGGAGCUUCCAGUAGUUUCCUCUCCAAAGGUUGGGUAAAUGCUGUCAACCUGAUAGGACGUGUAAUAACACAUAUAUGGUAUUGUUUCGUUAUACGACAGUUCGUUCACCGGAUCAUGUCAGCAAAAGAACCGUUGCCAUCAGCAAGGACUGUCGUUCCGUGAUUGGCAUUUGCGGUCAGUACCCAGUCCAUGAUCCUGCAAGUAUUAAUAGCACAUCGCAAGCAAAUGACGGGCUCAUCGAAGCAAAAAAAGCCAGUAAUUACCUUCCAAGGUUAAGACUGGGUCACAGACUGCUAUUCUAGAUAUGUCCUUCCACCGACCAAGUGCAGCUCCGACAGAGGUAUUGACCAGAUACAGGACUGAUCCACAUAGUUCUGUUAAUUUACUUGAGACUUGAUCAAACCAAGGUGA
This 1840-nucleotide long non-coding RNA is filed under the name Coccomyxa subellipsoidea. RNAcentral describes it as "long non-coding RNA (CSUB_LNC000725)". The record is from RNAcentral. Lineage: Eukaryota; Viridiplantae; Chlorophyta; Trebouxiophyceae; Coccomyxaceae.